CAGUCGCCGCGGUAACACGGAGGGUGCAAGCGUUAAUCGGAAUUACUGGGCGUAAAGCGUGCGUAGGCGGUUCGUUAAGUCUGUUGUGAAAGCCCCGGGCUCAACCUGGGAAUGGCAAUGGAUACUGGCGAGCUAGAGUGUGUCAGAGGAUGGUGGAAUUCCCGGUGUAGCGGUGAAAUGCGUAGAGAUCGGGAGGAACAUCAGUGGCGAAGGCGGCCAUCUGGGACAACACUGACGCUGAGGCACGAAAGCGUGGGGAGCAAACAGGAUUAGAGACCCCUGUAGUCCCUGUCUCUUAUAC
RNAcentral lists this ribosomal RNA (301 nucleotides) under uncultured bacterium. RNAcentral's name for it is "partial 16S ribosomal RNA". It matches the Rfam family "Bacterial small subunit ribosomal RNA", at positions 509 to 807 of the family's 1533-position model. The record is from RNAcentral.